Megalobrama amblycephala (Wuchang bream) is the source of this 5347-nucleotide long non-coding RNA. RefSeq lists it as uncharacterized. The record is from RefSeq and is a predicted model, not a curated record. NCBI's taxonomy places the organism in Eukaryota, Metazoa, Chordata, Actinopteri, Cypriniformes, Xenocyprididae. The transcript has 8 exons.
GACUGUACUGUAAAUAAAAGUCUUCUCUUUGGUAAAUGUAGAUUGAAACAGAAGAUAGAUGCUAUUUCUUUAGUCUUUUUAAAAAAAAAAUCUGUGACAUUGAUUCACUUAGUGGAAAAUUUUUGACAUUUAACUGGACUGCUGUUGCUCAUGGCCACAUCGGUCCACACAUGGUCAUGUUUCCAUGCUGUAAGCAUUUAUAUGCGUUCACCCUAUAACACAGUGAUAGAUGUAAGAACUCAUCAUACAAUUAUUUAAAACUCCACCCUUAUAACCAGAGCUGCAAAAGCAAAAAAAAAAAAAAAAAAAAUCAUCCUGGCAGACAGUUUUUAUGCUUAGCCAGCGAAGGCCAAAUUUUUGUUCUUGGCCUCAAAAUUAGGUCAAAAUGCAUGUCAAUCAUUAUUUUAGUUUGCUAAUGCAAGCGUCACUGAAUUGUUGCUCAAACUAAGGGUUAGUGAUUUGAUCAUUACAAAUUAUACAACUUAAGUAGAGGUUCAAAUUCAAAAUGUAGACUUUUAGUGUACAUUAAAAACCACUCUAAAUCUAGGAGAACAGUCUAGCUUGGCCAGUCUGUGAUGUUUUUUUGGCUUGGUAUUUUGUCAAAAUCCAUAAGUAUUUUCCUCUGAACAUCUAUUUGUAACACUGUUUACUUUGCUUAGAGGGAUAGUUCACCCACAAAUGAAAAUUCUGCCAUCAUUUACUCACCCUCAUGUCCAAACCCAUAUGACUUUCUUAUGCAGAACACAGAAGAAGAUAUUUUGAAGAACAUUGUGUUGCAAACAUAUUGGACACCAUUGACUUUCAAUGUACGGUCAAAAAAGACCGAGACAUUUAUAUCAUAAUAUCUUCUUUUGUGUUCCACAGAAGUCAUAGUCAAGUUUUUGGAACGAUUUUUUUUUUUGGUGAACUAUCCCUUUAAGGACUAGCGAGUCAAGCACCAUUGUUGUCAUUGAGCCAAAAGUGUCUUAACUGCAAAAUUCCCUCUAGAUAUCCAAAGGUGCGGUCCGAUACACAGACUCCCGCAGGAAACGUCGACAGCGGUGACGGUGACCCGGGCGGCUUCGCAGGUCCGCGCAGGGAGGCCGGAGUCUGGAGGCAGGGCCCGGGGGCUCGUGGCAGCGCUAGUUCAGACCUCAACAAAGGAAAUGGAGGGCUUUUGGAGAGAGCGGUGAAGGGGAGGAGGUGCAGGAUGGAGACAUUCUUCUUCUGUGCGCUCAUCUAAACAGAUUGAGUUAAAAGCUGUGCUGAGCGGCGCGGCCGAGCUCCUUUGGUGGUUUUACUGAAUCAUACGGUCUUGACCGCCACUUCACUCAGGAGUCACUUCUGUGGAGUUUUCCAGCUGUAUUGGCUCUGCGACUUUAUUUAGUGGUUCUUUCAUUCAACAGAACCCCCGUGUUUCCGUGUGCUGCCUGGACGUCCAAGUAAAGCCACGAGUCAAAGGAGGUGUGUUUGUUCCAGGUAACCACAGGAUAGUGUGGGUCGGAAGAAUCCUGUUUACUGUUGAAAGCCACACUGCUGCAGCUGCUCACUGGGAACAAGCGGCAAAUCCAGGGAAGCCAAGCGCUUACUCACUGGUUGGACGACACAAUAGUCUUGGCACUUGACAUAAGAAUGCGAAAGGAUCUUGAUUCUCCAGCGCAUUGUCUGGAGAGACCUCUGCACACUGUAAUGAAGUAUGAAUUCCUCUGUUUAUGAUGGAUUCACUCAGCCAUCCUGGAAAUCAAAAGAAGGAUGUGAGGAUCAGUUCAUGCUCGCGCUGAGUGUCGGUGUGUUAAAGGUUCAGAUUAUAUUUACACUGCAGACCUCAUUCAGUGACAGGAAGGCUGGAAGUGUUUAGCUGGUAGAAGGAUCCUGAAUCCAAUUCAGUUUUGUCACUCAAUGUAAAGGAUCAUCACUAAUGAAUGGUGGGACUACUUCUUGGGGACGAACACGCCACCCUCCACUCCCCCCAAACAACAAGUCCAAUGGAGAAUAAGGGGCAACAUAAAUUGCCAGCAAGACCAUGAUUCCUUACAUUUGAACUCAAAUGGCAAUUCUGCUUCCUGUUUGCUACUUCCAUACAAUUCUGAUGGCUUAAAGCACUGCUCUGAUCUCUCUAUAUUGUUCAUGUUCCUGGAUUGCCUCCUACAAAAGACCUUGAAAUGUAUCAUUUGGAGUGAAGCCGCCCACCAUGCAACAUGCUAUUGGAAAAUCAGUUUCUCCUUUAAAACAGGCAAGCACUGGUUAGGAAAAUGGAUUCAGCAAAUUUGCACCCUCAUUGUUCUACUAACUUCUAGUCUGACUAUAGUCUGACACAGAGUGCAAAGUCGUUCCCAGCGUGCUGUUGUUUAUACUGUCAGAGCCGAGGAAUCUGGAAGCAUUUGGUGGGUUAGCUCGCUGGGAGCUAUCAGACGAUUUCUUUUUAAACUAUUUUGAUAUCAGCUCUGUGGAGAGUUGACUUGCGCCUGAGAAAUGAGACCUUCUGGGCUCUAAGGCCUGGCUGCACUGCAAGAAUAAACACAACAACAGGAUGAAACCACAGCCUGCUGAGGACUUUCAAGAGUGGGAACACGUCACACAGCUGUUAAGUAGUUUCAUCAUCCAUGAUUGUGGGUAUUACGUACCCACACUGGUGGAAUGGGAUGGCACUGUGUUUGUGGUGAUAUCUUGGUUUCAAUUAUCCAAGCCAUAAAGGUCAACGGCAAUCAGGAUAUUGGAAGCCCCUCUGGCCUGUACGGCAAUUACGACUGCUUAAAUUCGAACUCCGCCACACGCUCAGACAUGUAACAGUUCUAAAACGACAACCACCUUCACAGCAAGUCUGUUCCUUGUGACCUAUUACCCAAAUGUGUUUAUUCUAGGAGCCGCCAUUAUCCUGGCCACGAUCCCACUUUAGAGCUAAUGGCUGAAAUUCUCUGCAUAAGUUUUUGUGAAAUAAUUGAUCACAUGUGAGUGUACCGGUGCAUGUUUCCUCCAUUUUGAAGGUGAUAUCAUGCAGUCAGAGUUUUCCUGUGAUACUGUGAUUGCUUCCCUUCGCCGUGGCCAGGGCAGCGAGAUGGAGGCAUUACGCCACUGCACUGGAGUGCUCUUAUCAAAGUGUGCCGUUAUCACUAUCACAAUCUGCCCUGGACUGUGGCCACAUGGACUCAGCAAGUAUGCACUGUCUGCCAUCAACAUUACGUGGCAAGGAAAUUUGACUACAAUUAAGCUUGAAGGCCUGCAAGAUGUUUUCAAGACAAAAAUCAAGGGGGAAAUUUCGACUAGGUUUUGCAAGGGACGUCCAGCUGUUGCUCUUGUGCAUGUGUUGGCUCUUUCAAAUGAACACAGUGUUGCUUUAUACAAGUAAACUUUCCUCCAAGCCAAAGAAAUCAUAAUUUGAUAAAUACCUAUGAGGACUUCAAAGGGCUUGCUUCAGAAGGAAUAACUUCUUUGGUCGAACCGGCAAGUCAAGUUUCUGGCUCUUAUGCAGUCCCACUAUAUUCACUCAGUACUCUGUCCAAACAGUUAUUUGAAUCCUAUUUUUUCGUCCAUCUUCAUUUGUUCAUCUUGCGGGGAAUGUUUUGUAUACAUCUAGUAAAACCACGGAGUACUACAACACAAUUUUGACUCUUCUCCAACUCUGAGUGAAGGACCUUCUGCAUUAAUCUAACUGCUUUAUUUUUCGUAUUUUGACAAAUUUGUGUUUCCAGGAAGUGGCUGAGGUCAGCGCAGCAUCUGUUGCUACUUAUGUCCAAGAUGCAUGCGUUGCUUUGUGUUGGUUGCCAGGGAAACCAUGUCUGCACAAUCACCUCUGAAUGGUCACAUCUUCAAAGACCUCAUGAGACUGUCAAGCUGGAUGAUUCUGACCAAACUGCAAUACUAAGGAACUCAAAAGAAAACGUUCAGAGGAAUGAGUGUUGUUUUGGACCCCACUGACUUAAGUUGUAUGUAAAAAAAGACACUCAAGCAUCCUUCAAUGUAUCUCUUUUUGUGCUCCACGGAUGAAGGAAAGUCAUUGUUUGGAACAACAUGAGGCUGAAUAAAUGAUUACGUGAACGUACAGUUGGAAGACAUCGCAGAUGAGUGGACAUUGGAGCUAAUUAUUUUCAGUGUAGCUACUGCAGACAUUACUGGUUGAUGGUUGAUAUCCAGUAUGUUUGCUUAUUCUUCAUGGUGACCCUAAUACAACAGAGUGACAUUGAACAAAGCAUGAUGAAUGGCCCCUGCUGAUGGCUUCCAGGAUGGAGCUGUGAUUGGAUCAAGAGUUUAGUCAGUUGCUGUUGCCCUUGCAAACAUCUGCAGAUCUUCCCUCCUGUCUGCUUUCUUCUGCUGCCCCUGUGGCCCCUGGAUGGAGUGAAGACGUAGCCAGGCCUCACUUGUGCGCAGGUUUCCUUUGAGAGACAAUAGGGGGGCAGCACAGGGACGUUCCAGGGCUGAGGGGGCAGAUUUAUUGCAAAGGAAACAGAAACGGGUGUCAGAGAGAACAAUAGGGGAUUCACACAGCAGUGGUGUCCCUAGCAUAGAUGCUUACUUUUAUCCAGGACUCUUUCCCCUUAGCCAGGAACUCCCUUCCUACAGAGUGGCUAGAAAAGCCAGUUUCCCCAUUCAGAGAGAGCAGGAGGGACCCAGAGAAAAGAGAGAUCAACGUCUGACAGGGGGUCUGCUGCAGACCUGACAGCACACGCCUGUAGGUCAUCACUUACUGAUAUAUGGGUUCACCAGCCCCCACGUGGAGACAGUGGAGUUCCUGUCUAUACUGGCCUGCUGCCCAUUUCAUGAAAUUGAGAUGCACCGCCCAUCUCAGGCACUGCAAUGUGUCUGAUUGCACUCAAGAGCGCCCCUGCUGUCCGAUGUCAGAACUGACUGGCACACACAAAGACGACAUGUCCCCAAAAAGUAAGCAAUUCUCAAAAAUGUAUUCGUCACUGCAUUAGAUAAUGAAAUAUCAAACCAAUUUUAUUUUUGGAUAGUCUAAAUACACUUUUCGAGUAAAACAUUUCACAAAAAGAUUAGGUUUAAAUGAUAAAACAACACUGUUCAAAAUGAAGACAAAAAGUGUGUGGACUUUUUCUAGUCAUCAAAAGUUGGUGGAAUAUGUUAUCUCAUGCAAUGUGGUUACUCUGAUAGGACACCUGAACUGAUGUCCACAACACUGGUUAAAAGUAACAUCAAAAAGUGAAGCUCUAGCAUCAUUUCGUUGCAGAUUGCACUUGGUUUUAGUUGACUAUGAUAGUAAUACAUUAGGCCUGCAUGGUUUCACAGACAGGGCUUAGAUUAAGCCAGGAUUAAGUGUUUAAUAAACAUUAGCCUUAGAAAAAACAUUACUGGUGUGCAUCUUGAGACAAGACAAUGACACUAACAUAUUUUAAGAUAUGUUAGUAAAAGUUGC